UUUAAAAAAGGGACAUAUAUAUUUACUGUUAAUUAUAAAAUUUUGAAAAAUAAAUAUAUUAGGUGAAAUUGUAUUGAGCUUAUCUUAUUAAGGCUUAGUUUGAUAUCGAGGUAUAUCUAACGCUAUUAGAUAAAAUGGAUUUGAGGAAAAAACAUAUAAGGAUAUGCUUCUCCGUUCUCCAAUGGGACCACAAAAAAUAUAUCGUAACCGACUCAUCGCGAUAUGCGGAACGUAAUAUUGCGUACGGUAACAAACAGAUAUUUUUCCAACGUACUUUCUUACCGCACGUAACGCAAUCUCCCUGCAAUCCCAAAUAAAGUCUAAGUGGUACAACUCCUAAAAAUAUAUUUUAUUUUAAGCCAAGAUAUUUUUCCAACGUACUUUCUCACCCCACGUAACGCAAUCUCCUGCAAUCUCAAACGAAGCCUAAGUGGUCAAACUCCUAAAAAUAUAUUUUAUUUUAAGCUCAAUUACACUUUGGUCCUCAAACUAUGACGUAGUAAAAAACUUUUGCCAAAUAUGACUAAUAACAAUUUUGGAAUAGAUUAUAUUUUAUUGUCAGGAUUACUUAAUUUUAUAAACUGGAUCAAAUAUAGUAAUAUCAUAUACACUGCAAUCCAGCAUUAUGCAUUAAAUUAAACGCGCUAAUACAACAUGAAUAGUAAUCUCAUUCAAAAAUUCAGAAUAUUUGGAUAUGUCGAAAUAACUUAUAAUAUUACAUAAUGUAAACCAAACGCGCUCUUAAAUUAUAGAAAACCAAAAUAAGAAACCGCUAAACCACA
This 782-nucleotide long non-coding RNA is filed under the name Ananas comosus (pineapple). RNAcentral describes it as "long non-coding RNA (ACOM_LNC030872)". Lineage: Eukaryota; Viridiplantae; Streptophyta; Magnoliopsida; Poales; Bromeliaceae. The record is from RNAcentral.